AGUGAACGCUGGCGGUAGGCCUAACACAUGCAAGUCGAACGGCAGCACAGUAAGAGCUUGCUCUUACGGGUGGCGAGUGGCGGACGGGUGAGGAAUACAUCGGCAUCUACUUUUUCGUGGGGGAUAACGUAGGGAAACUUACGCUAAUACCGCAUACGACCUACGGGUGAAAGCAGGGGAUCUUCGGACCUUGCGCGAUUGAAUAAGCCGAUGUCGGAUUAGCUAGUUGGCGGGGUAAAGGCCCACCAAGGCGACGAUCCGUAGCUGGUCUGAGAGGAUGAUCAGCCACACUGGAACUGAGACACGGUCCAGACUCCUACGGGAGGCAGCAGUGGGGAAUAUUGGACAAUGGGCGCAAGCCUGAUCCAGCCAUACCGCGUGGGUGAAGAAGGCCUUCGGGUUGUAAAGCCCUUUUGUUGGGAAAGAAAAGCAGCAGGUUAAUACCCCGCUGUUCUGACGGUACCCAAAGAAUAAGCACCGGCUAACUUCGUG
Molecule: ribosomal RNA, 492 nt
Filed under: uncultured bacterium
Lineage: Bacteria
Description: partial 16S ribosomal RNA
Rfam family: Bacterial small subunit ribosomal RNA
Source: RNAcentral